AUUGAACGCUGGCGGCAUGCUUUACACAUGCAAGUCGAACGGUAACAGGCCGCAAGGUGCUGACGAGUGGCGAACGGGUGAGUAAUGCAUCGGAACGUGCCCAGUCGUGGGGGAUAACUACUCGAAAGAGUAGCUAAUACCGCAUACGAUCUAUGGAUGAAAGCGGGGGACCGUAAGGCCUCGCGCGAUUGGAGCGGCCGAUGUCAGAUUAGGUAGUUGGUGGGGUAAAGGCUCACCAAGCCAACGAUCUGUAGCUGGUCUGAGAGGACGACCAGCCACACUGGGACUGAGACACGGCCCAGACUCCUACGGGAGGUAGCAGUGGGGAAUUUUGGACAAUGGGCGCAAGCCUGAUCCAGCAAUGCCGCGUGCAGGAAGAAGGCCUUCGGGUUGUAAACUGCUUUUGUACGGAACGAAACGGCUCUGGUUAAUACCUGGGGCUAAUGACGGUACCGUAAGAAUAAGCACCGGCUAACUACGUG
This 482-nucleotide ribosomal RNA is filed under the name uncultured bacterium. RNAcentral's name for it is "partial 16S ribosomal RNA". It matches the Rfam family "Bacterial small subunit ribosomal RNA", at positions 30 to 507 of the family's 1533-position model. The record is from RNAcentral.